This 253-nucleotide ribosomal RNA is filed under the name uncultured bacterium. RNAcentral's name for it is "partial 16S ribosomal RNA". It matches the Rfam family "Bacterial small subunit ribosomal RNA", at positions 524 to 776 of the family's 1533-position model. The record is from RNAcentral.
UACGUAGGGUGCGAGCGUUGUCCGGAAUUACUGGGCGUAAAGAGCUCGUAGGUGGUUUGUCGCGUUGUUCGUGAAAUCUCACGGCUUAACUGUGAGCGUGCGGGCGAUACGGGCAGACUAGAGUACUGCAGGGGAGACUGGAAUUCCUGGUGUAGCGGUGGAAUGCGCAGAUAUCAGGAGGAACACCGAUGGCGAAGGCAGGUCUCUGGGCCGAUACUGACGCUGAGGAGCGAAAGCGUGGGGAGCGAACAGG